GUUCCGGAGACUCAACAUGAAGCUGCUGGCCAGGGUUUUGUUUACUCUGGGGUCCCGGCUGCCCUGUGGCCUCGCUCCUCCGCGGUCUGAAAAAUGAGUAAAGAUGGAAGCCAAAGUAUCACUUUUAUUGUGGUUUGUGAGAGGAAGCUGGGCCCAUCAGCUGGAUCUCCCGAAGUAGGCAGACUUACAUAACUCUGAGGAGGGCAGAACAUUGCCCUCUGAAGGCAGCUGGAUCCCAAGAGGAAGAAGACCAAGGAGGACUGUUCAUACCCAACGAUCCUGUCAAAAUUUACCAGUCUGUGUUGCUAUAAAGGAAUACCUGAGGCUGGGAUGAGGAUGGUACUACGACAUUCAUGAUGGAUCUGCCCCCAUAACCCAGGCACCUCCCAUUAGACCCCACCUCCAACUCUGGGGAUCACAUUUCAACAUGAGGUUUCAAGGGACAGACAUCCAAACAUCCUUAGCAGGUUGACUAAGGGGACAGAAAGAAACCUGGAGUUGUACUACCUGAACUUCUCACAGUAGGG
This 527-nucleotide small RNA is filed under the name Pongo abelii (Sumatran orangutan). RNAcentral's name for it is "processed transcript". Lineage: Eukaryota; Metazoa; Chordata; Mammalia; Primates; Hominidae. The record is from RNAcentral.